AAUAACAGUAGAAGUACACCUUCUUACACUUUUUAAAUGAUUCAACUCAGGUAUUAUGGAACAAGGGGACACUUAGACCGAGGAAUUUUACACGGGGUGCCGGGAAAGAGGAAAAGAUGAGGACGAAUCUGCCGGAGCUGAUCUUCCGGCUGUAAAAACAAGGCGGCAGUCAGCUGACGGUUCCUGCACCGCGGCUGGUUGACAGCGCCGGGUGUGCGGACAGCAGGAGACUCGGAACAAGGGGAGUGCUAUAGAAAUUCUGCCAAAGAAGAUGAAGAAAAACAGAGAAAGAUUCUGCAACAGAGGGAGGGAAUUUGUGUAUGAAUUCAAAGUGGGAAGUCAGUGCUUAAAACUGACGGUGCCUCUCAAAUUUCCUGUUCAAGAGAAUGCCAGUCAUUUACAUGGCCGUCUGAUGCUGCUGCACAAUUUACCAUGCUUUAUAGAAAAAGACUUAAAAGAAGCUCUGAGCCAGUUUAUCGAAGAAGAAUCCCUCAAAGAUUAUGACAGAGAUGCUGAAGCAGCCCUGGAAGCUGUGAAGUCAGGUGAAGUAGACUUACAUCAGCUGGCAAGUACCUGGGCCAAAGCUUAUGCGGAGACCACAUUAGAGCAUGCAAGGCCCGAGGAGCCCAGCUGGGAUGAAGAUUUCGCAGACGUGUACCAUGACCUAAUCCAUUCUCCUGCCUCUGAAACUCUCCUAAAUUUGGAACACAAUUACUUUGUUAGUAUCUCAGAACUGAUUGGCGAAAGAGAUGUGGAGCUGAAAAAAUUAAGAGAGAGACAAGGCAUUGAAAUGGAAAAAGUGAUGCAGGAACUGGGAAAAUCACUGACAGAUCAAGAUGUAAAUUCACUGGCUGCUCAGCAUUUUGAAUCCCAGCAGGACUUGGAAAAUAAAUGGUCCAAUGAAUUAAAACAGUCGACUGCCAUUCAAAAGCAAGAGUAUCAGGAAUGGGUGAUGAAACUUCAUCAAGACCUAAAAAACCCCAAAAACAGCUCUCUCAGUGAGGAAAUUAAAGUUCAACCAAGUCAGCUCAGAGAAUCCGCUGAAGCAAAUGGAAGGAUUUAUGAGGAACAGAGAAAGUUAGAAGAAAGUUUUACCAUUCACUUAGGAGCCCAGCUGAAGACCAUGCAUAACCUGAGGUUGCUGAGAGCAGAUAUGCUGGAUUUCUGUAAGCACAAGAGGAGCCACCGAAGCGGCGUGAAGCUGCACCGACUCCAGACGGCGCUGUCGCUUUACUCCACGUCCCUCUGUGGCCUGGUGUUGCUAGUGGAUAACCGCAUCAAUUCAUAUAGUGGUAUUAAAAGAGAUUUCGCCACAGUUUGCCAAGAAUGCACUGACUUCCAUUUUCCCCGAAUUGAGGAGCAGCUGGAGGUUGUCCAGCAGGUGGUACUUUACGCCAGAACCCAGUGCAGGAGCAAGCUGAAAGAAUCUCACGAUUCUGGAAACCGAAAUGGAGGAAGUGAUGAUAAGACUAAGAAUGCAGAUAGAAACUAUUUAAACAUUCUACCUGGAGAAUUUUACAUUACUCGGCAUUCUAAUCUCUCAGAAAUACAUGUUGCUUUCCAUCUCUGUGUGGACGACAACGUGAAAUCGGGAAACAUCACUGCGCGGGACCCUGCCAUUAUGGGUCUCCGAAACAUACUCAAGGUUUGCUGCACCCAUGACAUCACAACAAUAAGUAUUCCUCUCCUGCUGGUGCAUGAUAUGUCAGAGGAAAUGACUAUACCGUGGUGCUUAAGGAGAGCAGAACUUGUGUUUAAGUGUGUCAAAGGUUUCAUGAUGGAAAUGGCUUCGUGGGACGGAGGAAUUUCUAGGACAGUGCAGUUUCUGGUGCCACAGGAAACAACUGUCCAGUAACAACCCUAAGGAGAACACCACUCCAGACUGGGUCCAUUACUCACUAACACUUUCCACAUCCUUUUCCAAAGAGCCUGGUGAUCCCACCAAGAACAAGGCAGGAGAGCAUGACGAGCUCUCUGCGGAUGCCUUUGGCACAUAGAGAAUGAAACCCAGAACACAGUACCCAAGAAGCACGCAGAUCCUUUCUGGAGAUGUCAAGGGAUGAAGCAGAAACCGUGCAGUUUCGGUGUGACACCUGUGUUAGUGGGUCUCUCCCUCCCUCUGUGUUCUCUUCUGCUUUCUAUCCUUCUUUCCUUUUCUUUCUUUAUGGUGAAGUCCUGGUUCCUUGUUAUCUGCUCCUCUGUGCUCAAAACUCUCAGCAUGACAGUCUGACAUCAGAGAUGGGAACCCAGUUAAACAAAUCUGCCUCAAAGACUGCCUCCCUGAUUUACUUGCCAUGGCUUGUCUCCAGGCGUAUUAGCUACCCUCGGAAGCGUGUUUCCUCAACUGUAAGCUAGGAAACGUUAAUAAUAGUAUCUACCUCACUUAGUAGUUGGGAGGAUUAAAGAAGGAAGCGCACACGACCUGGCAUAUAACCAUUCUAUAAAUAUGUGCUGCUAUUAUCCUUCCUUCCUUUCUUCCUUCCUGUCUGACCUUUCUCCUCUUUUCCUUCUUUCCUUUCACUGGAUUGUAGGGACACAAAGUCACGUACCUCACUGUGUCCUGAGGCAGCGUGCAGCCCAAUUGAGUUGGGACGAGAACUCAGGGUAACUCGCAGGACCAGUCCGCACACAGGAAGGUACACAGUCAGUGCGGAGCGCGAUGCACAUACUUGGCUGUGGACGUCCAAACAGAAACACGAGCAAUGCGUUGGGCCGAGAGGGGUGUUGAGCCCCUUGGGAGCAGACGGCCUGGCCCUUUCUCUCUCUGGCAUGGAGUGCGUAUCCCCUGGAGCUUUCGUCCCUCUCGAUGGGCAAGCGUAGAUCUCCUGGCAGACACACAACGCCACCUGUGCCAGGAGUGGCAACAAAUUCAAAGGGCGGGGGGGCAGGUGAGAGUGUCAGGAGGAAGUCACAGGGUAGGUGACUGACCCUGUAUUUGAUGGAGCAGGAAGGACUCUCACAUUUUUAUCGGGUGAAUCUGGAUUUUGGAUGUAACGAUAGUAUGAAGUGGUUCGGAGGUUUGAAGUCCGCUGCCCCCGGAGCAGGAGCAUAGAAUUUGCCCCUGUGAUGCUUUCUUCCCUGGUUCGUCCCUGAGGAUCUCCUGUCUGUGAGCUGAUCAGCUGUGUGCUGUUGUGCAGAUGACUCACUGAGGCCAGAGGACUAAAUACUGGCAAAGGAUUCAGUUCCAGGACGGUUAGGGAAGACAUCCCAGGGAUGAGAGAAGAGAAUGUGAACUCAGAAAUCCCUGGUCCACUCCUUCGGCUCUGCGUGUGGUGACGGUGAAGUAGGGAGGGGGCAAGAGAGCAAGUUCAUCUCUUUGUUCUUUUCUAAAACCCUCUAGGCCACCUUGUCUGAUGUAGCACAUUGGACAUUUACUCUUCUGUGUAAAUUUUCUUUUAUUGUGAAAUACUUCACACAUACAGAGAAGCUAGGAGAAUUAGAUAACAAAUCCUCAUUUCUCUACUACCUAUGUGCAAUCUCAACAUUUUGCCGUGUUUGCCUCGGGUCUCUCUUAAGACAUAAAACAUCAAAGACACAGUUGAACCCUUGUCCCUUUUGCCCCUCCUGCAUUCUGUGCUCCUCCUAGGUCAGCUGUUUCUCAGUAACAAACCACCUGGAAACUUAGUGGCUGCAACAAUAAGCCCUGUUACUCCUCAUGACUCCUUGGUCACCUCGGCGGCUCUGGUCUUACCUGGGCUCCGUCUUCAGAUCCGCUUCAGUAGGUCAGGUGGGUGGCUCUGAUGACCUUGGCUUGUCUCUCUCAGGUGGUUGGAGGUCAGCUGGCUGUAGGCUGGAAUAGGCUGACCUCAGCUGGGACACCUGGACUGUCCUUCACUGGGUCUCCUCCUGCAGGAGGCUGGCCCCAACUUGCUCACGUGCGUCAGUAGUUCGGAAAAGACGGAGGGCUCGUGCGAUGCCUCUGAGGCCUAGACUCAGAACUGACACACAUCACUUGUAUACCACAUUCCGUUGGUUAAAGCAAGUCCCAAAGCCAUCGCAUAUUCUAGGAGCGAGGUAAUAGGCUCCCUGUUUUGAUGAGAAGUGCUACUAAAGUCCCAUAGCAAAAAGCAUGGACACAGGGUGGGGAGAAAAUGUGGGAGUAUUUCUGCUACCAAUGUAUCAGUCUUUCCUCAGUAGUGAUUGCUGUCUUAACUCUGAUGUUCUUCAUUCUCCCGGGUUUAUUUAUAGUUUCAGUGCAUAUCUGUAUAGUGUACAUCCAUGUCUAUAUAGUGUAGCCAUAAAACGUGUCGUAUUGAGAUGUGCCGAAGGUGUCAUACUGAAAGCAUUAUCUUCUGCAUGUCACUCAACAACGUGCUUUUGUUAAACCCCAUAUCACGCUUUUGAGAUUUAACCAUACUGAUACAGAUAGAGCCACUUCAUUCAUUUUAGCUGCUAUAUACUACUUUUGAGUACUCUGAAUUAUAUGCUUACGGCCCAGUUUGUUUAUUUGUUUACUCUCCUCUUGAUGGACAGUGAGACGCUUUGCAUUGUGCAUGCACGUUAGCUUCUCCAGGGUGUGUCUCUGUGAGUGGAAUUGGUGGAUUCUAGAGUAUUAACAACUUCGAAUUUGUUAGUUCCAAAUUUAACUCCAACGUGUUUGUCCCAAAUAACCCUCCCACUGACAGCAUAUGAACACUCCUUUUUUCCUCCAUAUCCUUGUAGAAACCAGGUAAGAACUUUCAGAAAUUUUAAUUUUUGCCAUUCCAGUAGGAAAUAGUGCCAUUUGGUUUUGCAUUUCUGUUGUCACUGGUGAUGUUGUGUAGCAUAGCAUGUUUGUUGGCCAUUUUGAUUUCCCUGGUCAUGAACUGUUUGAAUAAUUUUUGAGGAACCUCCAGACUGUUUUCCACAGUGACUGCACCUGUUUACAUUCUCAUCAACCGUGCACAAGGGUUCCCUUUUCUACACAUCUUUGUCAACACUUGUUGUCUCUUGUCUUUUUGAUAGUAGCCAUUCUAACAGGUGUGAAGUGAUAUCUCAUUGCACUUUUGAUUUGCAUUUCCCUGAUUAUUAGUGAUAUUGAGCAUCUUUUCAUGUACCUAUUGGUUAUUUGUAUGUCUCUUUGGGAAAAUGCCUAUUCAGUUCCUCUGCCGAUUUUUUAAUUGAGUUGUUUCUUUGUUUUUGUUAUUGAGUUGUAUGAGUUCCUUAUAUAUUUUGGAUAUUAACCCCUUAUCAGAUACAUGAUUUGCAAAUAUUUUCUCCCAUUCCAUACAUAGGUUGCGUUUUCAUUUUGUUGAUGGUUUCCUUUGCUAUGCAGAAGCUCUUUAGUUUGGAAUAGUCCCACUUGUUUAUUUUUGCUUUUGUUGCCUUUUAGUGUCAAAUCCAAAAAAUCAUUGCCAAGGCCAAUGUCAAAGAGCUUAUGCCAUACGUUUUCUUCCAGGAGUUUUAUGGUUUCAGGCCUUAACAUUCAAGUCUUUAAUACAUUUUGAGUUGAAUUUUGUGAGUGGUUUAAGAUGAAGGUUCAGUUUUAUUCUUUUGCUUGUGACUGUCCAGUUUUCCCAACACCAUUUAUUGAAGAGCCUGUCCUUUCCCCAUUAUAUAUCCUUGGCUCCUUUGUCAUAAAUUAAUUGACCAUUUGUGUGUGGAUCUAUUUCUGGGCUCUCUAUUCUGUUUCACUAUUUUAUGCCAAUACUAUACUCUUCUGAGUACUAUGGCUUUGUAAUGUAGUUUGAUCAAGAACUGUGAUGCCUCCAGUCUUAUUCUUUCUCAAGAUUGCUUUUGCUAUUCAGAGACUUUUGUGGUUCAAUACAAAUUUUAAAAUUAUUUUUUCUAUUUCUGAGAAAAAUGCUGUUGGAAUCUUGACAGAAGACUACAUUGAAUCUGUAGACUGCUUUGGGUAGUAUGGAAUUUUAAUAAUAUUAAUUCUUCCAAUCCUUGAGCACAGAAUAUCUGUUUAUUUAUUUGUAUCUUCUUCAGUUUCUUGCAUCAGUGUCUUAGAGUUUUCAGUGUAGAGAUCCUUCACCUUCUUGGUUAAAUUUAUUCCUAGAUAUUUUAUUCUUUUUGAUGUAAUUGUAAAUGGGAUUCUUUGCUUAAUUUCUCUUCCUGAUCGUUUGUUGUUAGUGUGUAGAAAUACAAAUGAUUUUUAUAUUGAUUUUGUAUCCUGCACCUUUACCAAAUUUGUCUAUUGGUUCUAACUUUUUUGGUGGCCUCCUUACAGUUUUUUAACAUAUAAUACUAUGUCAAUUUUACUUUUUUUUUCUUAUUUGGACACCUUAUUUUUUUUCCUGCCUAAUUGCUCUGGCCAGGACUUCCAGUGCUAUGUUAAAUAAAGGUGGCAAGAGCAGGCAUCCUUGUCUUGUUCGUGGUCUUAGAGGAAGAGCUUUCAGCUUUUCACCAUUGAAUAUAAUGUUAGCUGUGGGCUUGACAUGUAUGCCUUUUUUGCAUCUAUUGAGACGAUCAAAUGAUUUUUAUCUUUCAUUUUGUUAAUGCAGUCUGUCAUGUUGAUUGAUUUGUGGAUGUUGAACCAUCUUUUCAUCCCUUCAAUAAAUCCCACUUGAUCAUGGUGUAUGAUCGUUUUUAUGUAUUCCAGUUUGCUAAUAAUUUGUUGAGGAUUUUUGCAUCUAUGUUCGUCAAGGAUAUUGGUCUGUAAUUUCCUUUUCUGAUUUGUUAUCAGGGUAAUGUUGGCCUCAUAAGAUGAGUUUGGAAGUGUUCCCUUUUCUUCUAUUUUUUCGGAAGACUUUGAGAAGCAUUGGUGUUAAUUCUUUAAAUGUUUGGUAGAAUUCACCAGUGGGGCCUUCCUAUCCUAGGCUUUUCUUUGUUGGGAGAUUGUUGGUUAUGGCCUCAAUCUCCUUACUAUUAAUUGAUCUGUCUGAGUUUUCUGUUUCUUUAUGAUUCAGUCUCAGUAGAGUGAAUGUUUCCAGGAAUUUACCAUUUCUUCUAGGUUGUCUGAUUUUUUUGGUAUAUAAUUGUUCAUAGUAGUUUUUUAUGAUUUUUUGUACAUGUGUAGUAUUAGUUGUAAUGUCUCCUCUUUCACUUCUAAUUUUGAGUCCUCUCUCUUUUAUUCUUGGUAAGUCUGGCUAAAGGUUUAUCCAUUUGGCUUAUCUUUUUUAAAAAACAGCUCUUAGUUUCACUGAUCUUUUCUAUUCUCUUUUUAGUGUCUAUUUAAUUUAUUUCUACUCUGAUCUUUGUUAUUUUCUUACUUCUGCUAACUUUGGGCUUAUGUUGUUCUUUUUCUAGUUCCUUGAGAUGUAAGGUUCAGUUGUUUAUUUAAGCUCUUUCUUUUUCCCUUAAUGUAUGAAUUAAAGACCAUUCAAUUAUCUCAAGUUCUUAGGAAUCUCUUCUGUUUAUGGAGUCUGCAUGUUCUCCUACACUGUUGACUGUGUCCUUGUUUGCUUUGUAAUUUUUUAUUAUGAAGUUACCUUCAUUGGAUCUUUGUAGUAAGUCUGUAUAAACUGGUUUGAGAAUUUGUCCCUCCAGAAAGGUUUAAUGUAUUUUUCUUUUAGGCUACCCAAGGGUAUUCUUAGCCUAGGACCAAAUUUUAUGUUAGUUUAUUAAAAACUGGUUGUUCCCAAAACACAUGGAUAGUGUAAACUUGAACUCCAAACCUACUCAUGAUAUGGACUUCUUCCCCACAUUCAAAUCAAGCUAUGUCCAUGUUAAUGAAUGAGGCUUAACAGAAACAUGCAGAUUAUACUUACCAAUAUCUUACCAGUAUUAAACACUUACUCUCUUCUAAGCCCUACGCUCCUUUACCUACUGCAUAAGUUUAAGAUGUAAAUUCAACUUCUGUGACCAAGUAUCAAGGUUAUGUUGGUGAAGGAAAGAUACAAUUUUACUUUACUUUUAUAUUCAAGUCCAAGUUAGAAUGCCAGCUCUGCUCUGGAAAGGUAUCAGGGUUCCAGGGCUCCAUCUUCUGUCCAACUAUCAGUAAGGUGCUGCGCUUAUUUCAUGGCCCAAGAGAUCCUGCCACUAUGUCUGCAUUCCACUCAGUAAGAAGGGGAAAGUGGUAAUGGGACACAAUCCAAAAGUUGUGCACAUCACUGCCACUCACAUCGCAUUGGCUAGAACAUAGUUACGUGUUCACACCUACAUGCAAAAGAGUUGGGAAAUUGAGUCCCUUCUUUGGGUGCCAUGUCCCAAAUAAAAACUGGUAUUCCUAUGUCUAUAGAAGAAGAAAACAAAUAUUAAGGACAACCAGCAGAUUGCCUUACCUACAUUAUAUCAUUUUAAUCUUUAAGCAAGCCUAUGAGAUAGAUAUUGUAUCUGUUUUAUAUCUAAGGAAAAGUAAUUUGCCCAAGGUAAUACAGUUACUAGAGAGGAGUUUAGACUCAAAGCCAGGUGUCUGCGACACCAAAAUUCUUCAAAGUGCUGUUGAAAGUCAGACCUGAAUGCGUGGCUAGUUACAUUUGAUUAGAGCUCUCUGUCAAAAUAUUGAAGGAGACUUUGGAGUCAAAAAGACCUGAACUGAUCCACCAGCAGGGCCAAGGCUAAGAAGAGGUAAACAAAAUGCCAAGAGUGAAAUAUAUAAGAAAGCAUUCACUCUCAGGGGUGUGCAAGCAUUCACAGCCCUGAGAGUAAAUGCUCCUUAAAUUUGCUCCGUAGCCAUCUCACUUGCCUCACCCUACUGCCAACCCUACUCAUCAUUUCCAUUACUAACCAGAUAUGGCCUUGGACAAAUAUUUCAUGUCUUUGACUGUUUGUUUACUUGUCUCUAAAGUACAUUUUCCCCCCUCUCAACUUCAUAAAAUCAGGCAAGAAAAAAAAAAGGAAAUGUGAGAAUGCUUUACAAAUUAUAAAGUUAUGAAAAGAUAAGAUUUAAUUUGAUUCUUGAGAGCCAAAGCCAUUUUUGAAUAUGAGGAUCUUAAUAUCUUUUGGGGGGUGAGGCAGGACCUGGAUGGGUGGGUGGGAAGAUGGAAGGAAAUUAAAUAAGUAUGUGUUGAGUAUGUCAUAAACUGUUUUAAAUAUGGAAAUAUUACAUAAAGGUGAACAAGACACAUCAUCUCAUCUCCUGUCCAGUAGGAGAGAUAUAUUAGAUCAAUAAACAAAUACAUAUGUAAGCGUAUGGGAAGAUAAGGGGAACAUAAAUGAUAUGACAAUAAGGGAAGGCUUUUAGGAUAAAAUGACAUUUAAGCUAAGACCUGAAAAGUUAAUAUUAGUUAGCCAGACAGAGUACAGGAAGAUGCUUUCCCAGGUUGAGGAAAUAAAAUGAAACAAAUAAACAAAAAUUUUAAAAACAGCAGUUGCAGUAAGUACACUGAGUAGGGAAACUAAAUUCCCAGAUUUCUGGUACAGGGAAUGUACCAGGGAAAUCAUAGCGAGGGAGAAGUUGAAACCUACACCAUAAAAUAGUUUAUGAGCUCCAGAGAUGUGCCAGCAUGGACCUGAUCCUAAACCUCAUACUAAAAACUUUGAGAAUUGAACGACGUGAUAGACCACCACCCAGAUUCCAGGCUGUCCACUGAGAAGCACCAUGCAAGAAAACUUCUAGUAGCACUGCAAAGACUUUGAAAAUGGAACUGUCAUUCAAACCAUAACCCACAACAUGUUUGUCUGAACUUGUGGCCUGAAACAAACUGGGUUGAUUUCCUGCUAGGAGAAAAAUAUCAACAUUCUCCAUAGGAUUUGAACAAAACCUAGAAUCUGAUAACAUAGUAUUUUAAAUGCCCUGAAUACAAUCUAAAAACACUUGCCGUACAAAGAACAAGAAAAAUCUCAACUCCCAAAAGACAACCUAAGAUGGCACAGACGUUGGGAUUACACCACAAAGCUAUUAGUAAAACAUGCCUUAUGAAAUAAGUACAGACUCUCUUGAUGAAUAUAAAGAAUUCUUAGCCAAGAAAUAGAUAUAAAGAAGAACCACAUGGAAACAUUAGAGCUAAAAAAUUCAGUCUUCAAAAUAAAGGAAUCCUGAAUAGGAUCGGAAGCAGAAUGGAGAUGACAGAGAGAGGAAUUAGUGAACUUGAAGACAGAUUGAUGGAACUUCUUCAUGCUGAACAACAGAGCGAAAAAAAGGUUGGUGAAAAAAUGAGCUGAGCCUCAGGGAACUGUGAGAAAAUAGAAAAAUGUCCGACACUCGUGUCAUUAGAGUCCCAAGAGGCGAAAGAAUGUGGUGCUGAAACAAUAUUCAAAGAAAUAUCGGCUGAAAACUUCCCAAUUAAUGAAUGAUAUAAACUUACAGAUUCAAGAAGUUCAGUAAAUCCCAAACAGGAUAAAUUCAAUGAAAUCUGCAGCCAGAAAAUAACAAUGCGUUACCUACAGGGCAACACCAAUAGGAGCGGCAGUAGAUUUCUCAUUAGAAACCAUGGAAGCAGGAGGAAGUGGAAGAAGACCAUCAACCCAGAAUUCUACCCAGUGAAAACAUCUUCAGGCAUGAAACUGAAAUAAAGACAUUCUCUGAUGAAGAAAGACUAAGAGAAUUGGUUGCCAGAAGACCUGCUUUAAAAGUAUUGCUAAAGGAAGUUCUUCAGACAUUAGAAGUUCAGGAGGAAACUUGGGGCAUCAGGAAUGGAGGAAGAGCCACAGAAAUGGUAAAUGUCGCGUACAUAUGAUAGACUAUUCUCCUUUUGAGUUCUUUAAAAUAUACUUGACAGUUGACAGCAAAAAUUGUAACAUUGUGUGAUGAGCUUUUCAAUGUAUGUAGAUGGUAUGCACAAAACAACUACAAUGUGAAGGGACCUAUAUGGGGAUAAGGUUUCUACAUCCCAUGAAAGUGGGAAUACUGAGCCUAAGCAGACUGUAAAAACAAACAAAUCCUGAGACAAGGAAUUUGAUGCAUUCAAGUAACGAAUGCAAAGAAGUCACAUUUUACCGAAGGGCUAUUGGGUCAUGAUUGUUUCUUCCUCAUCUUAGAAAAAUUCCAAAUAGAAGCUUUGCCUCAUAGCCCAUCCUCUCACACACCCUCAUAUCUAAUCACUCACCAAAUCUUGCAUAUUUCUCUCAAAUGUUUCCAUUUCUCUCCAACCCAUUGGUGCCUUUAUAGUCCUGGGCAUUAUUUCUUACCUGUAUACCAUCCCCGCAACUGUCCUCCCUAACCCAGUUUUGCUUCUUCUCCUCUCUUCAUCCCACCCCAAUUAUCUAAAAUUCAAAUAUCAUCAUGUUGUGUUCCUGCUGAAAAGACAUCCGUCCCUCCCUCCUAACUUUUAAAAUAGUGAACCCUUUAGCCUGGUUACAAGGCCUUUCAUUGUCUGCCUCCCAGUCACCUCUCCAGCCUCAUUUCCUGGCACUCUCCAAUCUCUCCCCUGGACCACAGUCUCUCGACCAGCAUAGUAAAUGUUUUAGGCUUUCUGGGCCAUACGUCCUCUGUUGCAAUGACUCAACUCUAGCUGUAGCACAAAAGCAGCCAUAGGCAAUAUGUAAAUACAUGGGUGGAGCUAUGUGAAAAUAAAGCUCUAAUUACAGAAACAAGUGGCCGGCUGAACUUGGCUCUUGAGCCACUACGUGGAGACCCCUGCUUUAGACAACUGAACUACCUGUGGACGUGGCAUUUUCUUUCCUCUUUUGAGCACUGCACAGUCUACUGUCUGGAAUGCCUGUCUCCUUUGUCUGGCUACCCUUAUUCAUCACCAGGUCUCAAGCUGGAUGCCACUUCUUCGAAGACUCCCUGGACUCCCUACCCUCUACCUCCAUUGUUGCACUUACCGCACUAAUGUAUUUACCUGCUAGCAUAUUUACACAGAUACUUGUCUGUCUUCUCCCACGUGUCUGUAAGCCUCUGGAGGGCAGAAACUAUAUCAAGCCCACACUUUAAUCCCUAGUGCCUGGAAGAGUACUUGGCACAUGUACGAACGAAUAAAACUUUAAUUUUUUCCAUUGAGUGAAUGGAAGGCCAGUAGCUCUCUGGCUGGCCCAGCCCCAGUCUUCAAACUUCAGAACUGGGAAAACACUGCCUGGCUAGAUGGUUGCAUCGUCAUGGAAGCUGUGGUCUGUUUUGUGUAAGCCAUCCCUUCCCUUUGGCCUGGCUUCCUCUUCCAGGGAAGCAGAGGUCCAAAAUUAAGGGCCAACCCCUCUAUCUCCUCUCAGACAGCACCCAUCCCAUCCACCGGCAGCUCAGAGCUGUCUGACCCCACUUCUGGCAGGCAUUCUCAGCCACUGAUUUUAAA
Molecule: non-coding RNA, 12035 nt
Organism: Globicephala melas (long-finned pilot whale)
Lineage: Eukaryota; Metazoa; Chordata; Mammalia; Artiodactyla; Delphinidae
Source: RefSeq, a predicted model, not a curated record